Molecule: long non-coding RNA, 315 nt
Organism: Lontra canadensis (Northern American river otter)
Lineage: Eukaryota; Metazoa; Chordata; Mammalia; Carnivora; Mustelidae
Exons: 3
Source: RefSeq, a predicted model, not a curated record
GUGAUGGUUCAGCCACAUAUUUUGCAUAGCUCCCUCCGACAUCCUUGCUGUUCUGGAGUCAGACUGCCUGGAUCUGAAUUCUGACUCCACUACUUCCUAACUCUGAGAGGUGGGUGUAAUCCACGCAGUGAAAUACCAUUGGAUCCAUUGGAUGAGGACUCUGAAGAUGGCACAGCACCGUGAAUAAACCACCAUGUGACAGCACCUGUGUACUGCGAUUAUGAUCUCUUCCUAGGUUCCCAUCUGACUCAUGCUAGGACAACCCCCUUUCGGAGGCUAGCCACACUGAGGAUGGCAUGAAGAGAAAGCCUUGUU